CAGUCGCCGCGGUAAUACGUAGGUGGCAAGCGUUGUCCGGAAUUAUUGGGCGUAAAGCGCGCGCAGGCGGCUUCCCAAGUCCCUCUUAAAAGUGCGGGGCUUAACCCCGUGAUGGGAAGGAAACUGGGAAGCUGGAGUAUCGGAGAGGAAAGUGGAAUUCCUAGUGUAGCGGUGAAAUGCGUAGAGAUUAGGAAGAACACCGGUGGCGAAGGCGACUUUCUGGACGAAAACUGACGCUGAGGCGCGAAAGCCAGGGGAGCGAACGGGAUUAGAUACCCCGGUAGUCCCUGUCUCUUAUACA
Molecule: ribosomal RNA, 301 nt
Filed under: uncultured bacterium
Lineage: Bacteria
Description: partial 16S ribosomal RNA
Rfam family: Bacterial small subunit ribosomal RNA
Source: RNAcentral